GUUGCUUUUUUGAACUUUAGAGUCUUUGCUGCCCAUGUUUUCAAGCUUAUCCUGUUCUUUCUAGCACAACAGUUACAAAAUCAAAUGCUUGACAGCCAAAAAUCCCACUGAACUUUCCUCAUAGGCUUCUGGAAUUUUAUAGUUAAGUCAAAGCAACUUAUUUGCACUAUAGGUGAUUGUGUGUUGCUAUGGGCUCUUCUGUGGUCUUUUAGAGUACCUCACCCUGCAGCAAGCCCUAUGCAAGCAGCUACCAGCAGCAGCGUGGGGCUGUCUUGAUUUAGAUGUCAUUCUCAAUUGCAUGCAAAAUGUUUUUGCAGAGCAGCUCUUUGCACUUGGCUGGGUCCUUGAAGAGUAUGUUUGCUGCAGCGCAGGAGAAAUAUUUACUGUGGUUUAAUCCUUGUUGUUGAAGCCCAUGUGAUGUUUUCCAGGUGCACACAGUGUGAUGUGUUCAAGGUGUGCUCAGGUGCUGGGCCAGUCUGACCCAAAACAGAGGUGUUUCCUUCAAAGCACUGCAUUUACACAGUAAGGAAACUUUCUGGACAUCUGUAUUAAGAGCUUUGCUGCCAGUAGAAGGGAGAUUUCCCAGUGCUCUCAAAUCCAUUUGCUCCGGAAGGCUGUCUUUAAAGCCAAUGCACUCCAGUGGGAGCUUAGGUAGGAUCUGGUUUGUAAGCUUGAUCAAAGGGUCCCAGAAUUUGCCCUCUGAUUUCCAAAAAGCUCUGGAUUUGCUGGUUAGUGAAUUUGCCUGAAUGGUAAAGGACCAAGGGUGUUCCUUACAGCAAAUCUGGAGUCAUUUUCAUUGGGAGACUUGUCAUCUGCAGGCUCAUCCAAGCAGUAGCUGGUUUUUACACUGAGAAGUCUCUUUGCUACUGUGGUGAGGUUGUCUUAAGUUGUUAUUGCAGUUGCUAAGGCCUUUAGGCAGGCAAAGGACAGGAAUAUGCUUCAAAUGCUUCUCAGAUCAGUCUGAUCCAGCUGAAUUCAUGUCCCUGGCAAGCUCUGCAUCAUCCAAUAAUACCCUAACAAGUUGAAAGAGUCACUUCACAUCCUUGUGGCCCUCCCUGAAUGCAAAAGCCUGGCUGUUAAAUGAGUGUUACCUCUUCUGUUCAUCUUUGUAAUGAAUUCCGGAGCCUGGCUCCCAUUCCCUGUCCCCUCCUCAGUAAUUCCCUGCAGAACGUGAAGGAAACCUGCUGGUGAUGCCUGUUCUCCUGUUUUCCUUCCGAAGUUUAUCCUUUAUCUAGUAUUAUUUGGACCUAUUUGCUUUCUCUUACAGUGGUUGUAGAAACAAUGCUUAACAAAAUGGGAUUGAAUUUAAUAAAGGGCAAGUGCCACACAGCAAAGCCCAUUAAAGGUGUGAUUAAGACUAAAAGACAAGUCAGUAUUCCUGCAGCACCUGCUGGGGGUUUAUCUCCUUGUCAGCUAUUAAAGGAAACCUGGUUAAAGACUGAAUGUAGCUUGAUAACAUAAAUCCACACUAAA
This is a long non-coding RNA of Pezoporus flaviventris, 1473 nucleotides long. RefSeq lists it as uncharacterized. The transcript has 3 exons. Lineage: Eukaryota; Metazoa; Chordata; Aves; Psittaciformes; Psittacidae. The record is from RefSeq and is a predicted model, not a curated record.